UGAAGUGUUCAUUUAUGGCAGAGUCUUUGGAGUCAUCAGCCCAAGGGAGGUUGGGGGUGGUGGGGAAGUUACUGUUUUUCUCUAUCUCUACCCUCCAGUGGACCAACAAAACAAAUAUCUUGGAUUCUUUACUUGCACUGCCUUGAUGGGAGACAAGGGCAGAUCCAAGGGAAGUACUAACGAAACCGGUUUUUCAUCCCUUUGAAAUCAUAUACCAGUAACGGCUUCAAGUUGGAGAGGAGAGACAAAGCGCUGUUGAAGAGGCAAAAGGAAAUAAGAUCAGAGAAUGGAGAUGUGGCAGGCCUCGUUCCCUCCCCACUCUUGCUGUCCCUGAUGAUGGAGGAGACAUGAGUGAUGCCUUUCAAGAAAUCUGUAUAUUUUGAAAUAAUCAAAACGCCAGGCAAUAAAAUUUUUUUUUAAAGGUAAAAGGAAAUCACCAUGUAAGCUGAUGAUUUCUUUUGGGGAACCUUCAUUCGGGACGAUGACUCAAGGGGAAGAACAGCCACUUCAUUCUGACAUUACAACACGAUACCAGGUAAACAUUAUGGAGAUGGAUUUCCUAAGCAGACUAUUCAUCUAAAAGAAAAGAAAGAAAAGAAAAAAAAAAAGAAUUCAAUCCUCUGGGCUUCCACAUGCCUCCGUUCUCCAGGUAGAAGGAACAAGAGCCAUAUACUGAAGUUGAAGUCAAGAGAUGGGAAAAGAGAUUCAGAAAAGUAAAGCGGAAUAACUGCGAGUAAUAUAUUUUAAAGGAUAUUCACAUGCAAAUAGAACCAAGACUAAAUGAUGACAGAACCAAUUAUACAGAAGGCAAUUAAACGUGUCACUUCAAAACUGUCAAAUACGAACGAAUGGUUUGUCCUUAAAAUGAAAAUAGUGAAUCAUUCCACGUGGAAAAGAAUUGCUUCAUAUCAUUUGAAGAACUUCAAAAUAAAAUAUCUCUAGUGAGGCCCUACACACAUAUUAAGCUAGCAGAAAUAGGCUGGAAUGAUAAAAUUUCAUGUUGGUCAAGCUGUGGGAAAA
Molecule: long non-coding RNA, 1020 nt
Organism: Gorilla gorilla gorilla (western lowland gorilla)
Lineage: Eukaryota; Metazoa; Chordata; Mammalia; Primates; Hominidae
Exons: 4
Source: RefSeq, a predicted model, not a curated record